Molecule: ribosomal RNA, 949 nt
Filed under: uncultured Lactobacillus sp.
Lineage: Bacteria; Bacillati; Bacillota; Bacilli; Lactobacillales; Lactobacillaceae
Description: bacterial SSU rRNA
Rfam family: Bacterial small subunit ribosomal RNA
Source: RNAcentral
AUUGGCGGGUGCUAUAAUGCAGUCGACGCGUCUUGGUCAAUGAAGUUGAGUGCUUGCAUUUAACUGAUUUGACAUUAAGACGAGUGGCGAACUGGUGAGUAACACGUGGGUAACUUGCCCCGAAGCGGGGGAUAACAUUUGGAAACAGGUGCUAAUACCGCAUAACAACAAAAACCACAUGGUUUUUGUUUAAAAGAUGGUUUCGGCUAUCACUUUGGGAUGGACCCGCGGCGUAUUAGCUAGUUGGUGAGGUAAUGGCUCACCAAGGCAAUGAUACGUAGCCGACCUGAGAGGGUAAUCGGCCACAUUGGGACUGAGACACGGCCCAAACUCCUACGGGAGGCAGCAGUAGGGAAUCUUCCACAAUGGACGAAAGUCUGAUGGAGCAACGCCGCGUGAGUGAUGAAGGGUUUCGGCUCGUAAAACUCUGUUGUUGGAGAAGAACGGGUGUCAGAGUAACUGUUGACAUCGUGACGGUAUCCAACCAGAAAGCCACGGCUAACUACGUGCCAGCAGCCGCGGUAAUACGUAGGUGGCAAGCGUUGUCCGGAUUUAUUGGGCGUAAAGCGAGCGCAGGCGGUUUUUUAGGUCUGAUGUGAAAGCCUUCGGCUUAACCGGAGAAGUGCAUCGGAAACCGGGAGACUUGAGUGCAGAAGAGGACAGUGGAACUCCAUGUGUAGCGGUGAAAUGCGUAGAUAUAUGGAAGAACACCAGUGGCGAAGGCGGCUGUCUGGUCUGCAACUGACGCUGAGGCUCGAAAGCAUGGGUAGCGAACAGGAUUAGAUACCCUGGUAGUCCAUGCCGUAAACGAUGAGUGCUAAGUGUUGGAGGGUUUCCGCCCUUCAGUGCUGCAGCUAACGCAUUAAGCACUCCGCCUGGGGAGUACGACCGCAAGGUUGAAACUCAAAGGAAUUGACGGGGGCCCGCACAAGCGGGGGAGCAUGUGGGU